AGCAAACUCAAAUCUAAUAGCACAAAUUACACAAUAUCACAAAUCACAAAAAUAAAAGCUCCCCUAACACAACAAGGACGAGAGAAAGAAAGUCCCCUAACACAACUGGGACAUGAAGAGCAUGCUAAAAAACAUUCACCUAACACAGCAGGCACCCUUCCAGCAAAAAUUUCACCAAAAAUGCUCCAAAUAUCUCUGCACCAAAAAAUAGUAAUUAACCCCGAAGAUUUUUGGUGAAAUUGAAAGCCCAUUAUAACCAAUUAAAAAGAAUAAAAUCAACAAUUUCAGUCGAUGGAGAAAUUGAAAGAAUAAUUGGAUGAGCACGAUGGAAAUGAUGGACAAAAUUAGAGUAAUAACUGGAAUGAAAUCUGACCUGAGAUCAACGGAAAUGGAGAUCUUCAAUGCGGAUGAAGAGAAACAAGAGAGAAAAGUUGCGAAAGGGAGAGAGAGUGUGAAA
RNAcentral lists this long non-coding RNA (457 nucleotides) under Salvia miltiorrhiza (redroot sage). Its description in RNAcentral is "long non-coding RNA (SMIL_LNC006751)". The record is from RNAcentral. Lineage: Eukaryota; Viridiplantae; Streptophyta; Magnoliopsida; Lamiales; Lamiaceae.